CCUACGGGAGGCAGCAGUGGGGAAUAUUGGGCAAUGGAGGCAACUCUGACCCAGCAACGCCGCGUGAAUGAUGAAGGCCUUCGGAUUGUAAAGUUCUGUGAUGGGGGAUGAACACAAUGAUGGUACCCCAAUAGCAAGCCACGGCUAACUACGUGCCAGCAGCAGCGGUAAUACGUAGGCGGCAAGCGUUAUCCGGAAUGACUGGGCGUAAGGGGUGCGUAGGUGGUUUAGUAAGUUGGCGGUGUAAUUCCGGGGCUCAACCUCGGCGCUACCGCCAAGACUAUUAGACUAGAGUGCAGGAGGGGUAAGUGGAAUUCCUAGUGUAGCGGUGGAAUGCGUAGAUAUUAGGCGGAACAUCAGGGGCGAAGGCGACUUACUGGACUGUAACUGACACUGAGGCACGAAAGCGUGGGGAGCAAACAGGAUUAGAUACCCUUGUAGUC
This 443-nucleotide ribosomal RNA is filed under the name uncultured bacterium. Its description in RNAcentral is "partial 16S ribosomal RNA". It matches the Rfam family "Bacterial small subunit ribosomal RNA", at positions 338 to 795 of the family's 1533-position model. The record is from RNAcentral.